Long non-coding RNA from Amphibalanus amphitrite, 938 nucleotides. RefSeq lists it as uncharacterized. The record is from RefSeq and is a predicted model, not a curated record. The transcript has 2 exons. NCBI's taxonomy places the organism in Eukaryota, Metazoa, Arthropoda, Thecostraca, Balanomorpha, Balanidae.
CACAGAGAUGAACGGCGCCAGCGGGCCGGGGGUGCUGUCAUCAGGUCUUCUGGGCGUUUGCCUGCUCUCCGCGAUCUCACUGUACCGAUAGUAGAGGGCGACCAGCACCGCUCUGCGCCUGAGAGACUGGCGACUGCCCAUAUGUGAGAGUGCUCUCGACACCCGGCUGACAAUGCAAUCGAAGCCACCUGACGCCAGCUGCCGGCUGCGAAUCCAGUGUUCGGGACGAGGCCAAACGAAUGGCUAUAUUUUGUGAAGUGCAAUGAUAAGCGCGUCGCCAAAGUGUCCCCGCCUUCCCGUCUAGUCCCAGGCGCGCUGGCGGCGUCGCCCCGCCCGCUCGUGCCGUUGUUUGUGCUCUUGAGUUGUUGGAUCGCAAGAAUUCAGUAGGAGGCAGUAGGAUAAUGAUGGUAAACAUACCAAUGCGUAUGUGAGUUGAUACAUCCUGUUUUGUUGGAUACAGUAGCCAACUAAUUGAAAAAGCAGAAUGCAGUAGUUUGUAUUAGGCAAGCCGAUUCAUGCUGUCUUAAAGUAAUCGACAUCGGUUCUCCUUUUUUUUUGCCACAUUAAAGCUAGUAUUUUGUCUUUGUCAUUCACUUAUCCGUUAACGAAAUCGAGCCCAAAUUUCAUCGUAGAUUUGUUUUCCUGUGUGUGGCGAUAUACAGUGGGCGUGCGUGAAUGGAGUGUGAGUUUAGACGAAUGUGGCGCAUCAGCCUCGUUGAGCCCGUGAAACCUGAACGGUUUUCUGUGAUCAUCAUGAUAUUCGUGUACGCUAUUGGCGAGAGGCAUUGUUCGUGAUCCGGCUAGUCUUCGGUGUUCGAAUAUGUUGGGAUGAUCGUAGAAGUAUACGAAUGAGAGUCAUGUUGUUUCGCUCGCUAAUGGUUUUAUUUCUCGCUGCGCUGCUGAACGUGUGUGUUUUGAAUAAAAAUGUAUCAAAACCA